GGGGGCGGGCGCGGGAAUUCGAUUCAGGCCUAACACAUGCAAGUCGAGCGGUAACACAGGGAGCUUGCUCCUGGGUGACGAACGGCGGACGGGUGAGUAAUGUCUGGGGAUCUGCCUGAUGGAGGGGGAUAACUACUGGAAACGGUAGCUAAUACCGCAUAACGUCGCAAGACCAAAGAGGGGGACCUUCGGGCCUGUUGCCAUCAGAUGAACCCAGAUGGGAUUAGCUAGUAGGUGAGGUAAUGGCUCACCUAGGCGACGAUCCCUAGCUGGUCUGAGAGGAUGACCAGCCACACUGGAACUGAGACACGGUCCAGACUCCUACGGGAGGCAGCAGUGGGGAAUAUUGCACAAUGG
Molecule: ribosomal RNA, 357 nt
Filed under: uncultured bacterium
Lineage: Bacteria
Description: bacterial SSU rRNA
Rfam family: Bacterial small subunit ribosomal RNA
Source: RNAcentral